RNAcentral lists this ribosomal RNA (228 nucleotides) under Salmonella enterica subsp. enterica serovar Derby. RNAcentral describes it as "partial 23S ribosomal RNA". It matches the Rfam family "Bacterial large subunit ribosomal RNA", at positions 419 to 644 of the family's 2925-position model. Lineage: Bacteria; Pseudomonadati; Pseudomonadota; Gammaproteobacteria; Enterobacterales; Enterobacteriaceae. The record is from RNAcentral. RNAcentral also lists the same sequence under 2 other names.
GGGACACGUGGUAUCCUGUCUGAAUAUGGGGGGACCAUCCUCCAAGGCUAAAUACUCCUGACUGACCGAUAGUGAACCAGUACCGUGAGGGAAAGGCGAAAAGAACCCCGGCGAGGGGAGUGAAAAAGAACCUGAAACCGUGUACGUACAAGCAGUGGGAGCACAGGUUUACCUGUGUGACUGCGUACCUUUUGUAUAAUGGGUCAGCGACUUAUAUUCUGUAGCAAG